AAAAAAAAAAAAAAAUUUAGGACAACUAUAAAUUUUUUUUUGGGCCCCUUAGAUUUUUGGGCCCUGAGUCCCAAGCCUUUUGUGCCUCUAUUCAAAUCCGGGCUUGAUUGGUUACUAAAAUGAUAUUGCUACAAUGAGAUAAUCCACAAUCCAUCAAUUUUUUUCAUCUUGAUAUAAAAACUAAUGAUUUGGCAUAAAAAGCCUAACAACUUUGUAUAUAUAUCUAACUAUUGGUUGCUAAGAUGAUAUUGCUACAAUGAGAUAAUCCACAAUCCAUCAAUUUUUUCAUCUUGAUAUAAAAACUAAUGAUUUGGCAUAAAAAGCCUAACAACUUUGUAUAAAUAUGAAAUCGUUUUGCUCAAUUAUUUUUAUAUCAUUAAAGUUACC
RNAcentral lists this long non-coding RNA (387 nucleotides) under Fragaria vesca (wild strawberry). RNAcentral describes it as "long non-coding RNA (FVES_LNC005345)". The record is from RNAcentral. Lineage: Eukaryota; Viridiplantae; Streptophyta; Magnoliopsida; Rosales; Rosaceae.